Molecule: long non-coding RNA, 1387 nt
Organism: Gavialis gangeticus (Gharial)
Lineage: Eukaryota; Metazoa; Chordata; Crocodylia; Gavialidae
Exons: 3
Source: RefSeq, a predicted model, not a curated record
AAUAUUAUACAGAGAGUGAAAUAAAAUACUUAAGAAGAAUAAUUCCAAUCAAUGUAUUUUAUGUUGCAAUUUUCAACUUUGACGUUUGGUUUUCAUCAUGCUGCACCCACUCCUCGUGGCUUCACCAAGUUGUUCUACAGCCUUGUCCAGUGUUAGCUAACCUAAAUCAUUGGGUCCGUCUGCCAAAUUUGUCAGAUCUUUGUUCAGCUAAUACAUAGCAGCUUUAUCCAGAGUGCAUGACCCAUGAAUCUCUCUCAGCAGUCACCCACGCUUCCAAGCAAAGGUUAAUUUUACUCAUCCAAACCGUGCAUGAAUAUUUAGAAUAAAUACAGAUGUUCCUCAGGCAUUCAGACAUAAACUGGUACCUUAUACCAUAGUGGAAACCAAACUCUAAUUAACAGGGCAAUCCACAUGCUUAAAGUUAGGCAUGUUUUGAAGUACUUGGCUGAAUUAGGUCAUGGCUUCCUUAAUACAUUUUGUGCAAGACUUUGCCAUGGGCUUCAUCAAAAUACAUACUAGUUUUCCUUUAGUUUUCACAUUAUUGAAAAGAUUCAAGAAUUCUAGCUGAUUACAAAGACAUGCGUUUCUUUUGUUUCAACAGGGCUGGGUUGUAUCAGUCACUUCAAGGUUAAGGAUCCUUCUAGGGAAUCUUCUGAAGCAAAGCUGCCUACAGGAGACGUGACUUGAGAUCAGAUGUAUCCAGCCUGAGAGCCCUUCAUUUCAAAUAAAUGACACAGGUUAGAGGUAAGCAAUCCUUAAGAAUGAUGGACAAUCAAAUCCAAGACUAAAAAGAGGCCUAUGGUGCAGUGAGUGUGGUUGAAAUACAAUGAAAACAGCCCAUGUGGUUUUGGCAGUAUUCUUCCUACCGUAUAUCCGAUUUCUAGGAAACCACCCAGAAUUUUGCAGGGGAGAAGUAUGGGGCUUUUACUCGCUGCAUGGCCCAUGAAAUCAAGUGUUGCCAUCAACACACCUCUCUCCACAGAAAGGGCAGACCAUGCAUCUCUUCUAGAAGUCACCCAAGUUUGUAGCAAAGGUCUUGCAUGCCACCGCAGCCAGCUGCUUCCCGUCAUGGCAUAUGCAUUAAGUGUUACAGGACCAGGUUUGUGCGAUCACAGAACCCAGUUGCAGAUGUCCUUCUCCGAUGGAAAUCAGGUAGAGUUGCUUUGUGCGAUGUGUGUUUGAUUGUACAAUAAUGUAAAAUUUAAAGGAGACAAAAAUAAAACUCUGCCGCUACAUGACAUGGCAUGAAGAGCCUCCUUUAGCACUGAAGUCACAUUCGUCACAGAACCACGCUAGAUGCCCCCUGCUCCCUCUGUACAGACGCACGCCUGCGGCAUCUUAUAUUGCACCUAUCUGGCGUGCUGCAGUUCCUCAACUGAACAGGCUU